Molecule: long non-coding RNA, 709 nt
Organism: Cephus cinctus (wheat stem sawfly)
Lineage: Eukaryota; Metazoa; Arthropoda; Insecta; Hymenoptera; Cephidae
Exons: 4
Source: RefSeq, a predicted model, not a curated record
UCAAUUUCGUAAAAGGAACUUCAAGGCGACAGAGAAUAUUCACUUGAUGCGUGUGACACUUGCAGACUGUAGUAGACGACGCUUGUCACGACGCUGACGUUUUGAAGGUUCGACACGACGUCGCGCGUUUAAAUUUACAUGAAAAAUAUAGAAACGGAGAAUCGGCUUUUCGAACGCACCUGUGCAAAACGGCAUGCUUUGGUUCGAGGUUAUGUCACGUUCGUAAAGUUCUGAUAGAAUCAUUCAGUCGAGUAUCCAGUGGCCACCGCGUGCAAUCAACAUGGGGAAGUUCAUCACGAAUCCUUCGAAGAAUCCAAUUGGGGACGUGGAACCGAUAACCCAACUGCAAGCAUCUAAACUUUUUCGGCGUCUACGUCGAUAAAGUCGGAAAAUCCCGAGGUCAAAAUUGAGGAGCAGGUGCGUCAUCUUUGAAGUACAUCAUGGAGCGUCGACUUUUCGGUAUUUACGACGAUGCCCUUGUUUUCAUAUGUGUCACGCUCAAGGGAAGACACCGGCUGCAGCUGCAGCCUUUACGUUGAAAAUUCACCAUGGGGUAAUUCGGUGCAAGAAACUUCCACCCAGCGCAGCAGCUCGGCUUGCAACAGGCAUUAAGAUUUUAAUUAAGAGACCUUUGCAGUUCCUUUAGACUUCGAUACGAUGAUCUUAAGUAAACUUGUGUAAAAGCAUCAUUAAAUUUAUGUGCAGUAAA